ACGAGGUAGCAAUACUUAGUGGCAGACGGGUGAGUAACAUGUAGGUAUCUGCCCUUUGGCCUGGAAUAACACGAGGAAACUUGUGCUAAUACCGGAUAAGUCUUUACGGAGAAAGCUUUAUGCACCAUUGGAUGAGCCUGCACUUGAUUAGUUUGUUGGUGGGGUAAUGGCCUACCAAGACAACGAUCAAUAGCUGAUUUGAGAGGAUGAUCAGCCACAUUGGAACUGAGACACGGUCCAAACUCAUACGGGAGGCAGCAGUAGGGAAUCUUGCACAAUGGAGGAAACUCUGAUGCAGCGAUGCCGCGUGAGUGAAGAAGGCCUUUGGGUUGUAAAGCUCUUUCGUCGGGGAAGAAAAUGACUGUACCCGAAUAAGAAGGUCCGGCUAACUUCGUGCCAGCAGCCGCGGUAAUACGAAGGGACCUAGCGUAGCUCGGAAUUACUGGGCUUAAAGAGUUCGUAGGUGGUUAAAAAAGUUGGUGGUGAAAUCCCAGAGCUUAACUCUGGAACUGCCAUCAAAACUUUUUAGCUAGAGUAUGGUAGAGGAAAGCAGAAUUUCUAGUGUAGAGGUGAAAUUCGUAGAUAUUAGAAAGAAUACCGAUUGCGAAGGCAGCUUUCUGGAUCAUUACUGACACUGAGGAACGAAAGCAUGGGUAGCGAAGAGGAUUAGAUACCCUCGUAGUCCAUGCCGUAAACGAUGUGUGUUAGACGUUGGAAAUUUAUUUUCAGUGUCGCAGCGAAAGCAAUAAACACACCGCCUGGGGGAGUACGACCGCAAGG
Molecule: ribosomal RNA, 780 nt
Filed under: uncultured marine bacterium
Lineage: Bacteria
Description: bacterial SSU rRNA
Rfam family: Bacterial small subunit ribosomal RNA
Source: RNAcentral